RNAcentral lists this ribosomal RNA (198 nucleotides) under uncultured bacterium. RNAcentral's name for it is "partial 16S ribosomal RNA". It matches the Rfam family "Bacterial small subunit ribosomal RNA", at positions 328 to 539 of the family's 1533-position model. The record is from RNAcentral.
ACGCUCGACACCUACGGGAGGUAGCAGUGGGGAAUAUUGCACAAUGGGGGAAACCCUGAUGCAGCAACGCCGCGUGAGUGAAGAAGUAUUUCGGUAUGUAAAGCUCUAUCAGCAGGGAAGAAAAUGACGGUACCUGACUAAGAAGCCCCGGCUAACUACGUGCCAACAGCCGCGGUAAUCUGAGCGGGCUGGCAAGGC